GCGUCCCCAGCGCUUUAAACGGCACAUCUUCUGCGAGCGGGAAGCGUCGUCCGGACAAGAAAGCGUCGCCGCUGUUAAGGCCUCCUGCGGGCCUCGGAGGCAACCAUUCAUACACUGCUGGGUUGCUCUAUCCAUUCAGUGACUCAGUGAGUGUCAACUGUAUUCAGCUUGAUAAGAAAGAAUGGCUUUAACAAGAUGAAAAUGGCAGAAAUGGAGGUUCACAGAUGGUGGGAGGUUCCACUCUAGAGAAUCCUAGGGGGCAAAAGCAGGUAGAACAACAGAGGGAAGCCCCAGUCCGAGGUCACGUGUCACGGAGCACAGAGCAAGCUGGCCUGGAGGCCCAGGGCAGGAGAAGCCACGGCCGUGAGCAGGACCACAAGAGGGACCAAGAGCAGGUGAGGCAGAGAGCAGGAUCUUAAUGCACAUUGUUCAUCAUCUCUUUUCAUUGUUCAAAUCAUUUUAAACGUACCUCUUUUCACUCUAAUUGACAGAUUGACUGUCCACUGUGGAGCGGGUGCCCCUGAGGAAACACAGCUGUCACCCAGAUUUGAGUGAUCAUUAAGUAGAUCUCCCCAUAUCCACCCCAUGAUUUUGUUAUUGCACCAUACUUAUUUUCUUUAUUAAACUUAAGAAAAUUUUCAGCCUCACGGAACACAAGACCAAAACUCAAAGCAGCAUAACCAAUAAGGAAACAUCUUAACUCAAUAGCAUGCUUCCCAGCAUCUCCAGAACUGGUUCACUCAAAGAUCACAGCAGCCUUAAGGACACAGCUCCCUGGGUCUCCCUCUCUGCCAUCCAUGUCAUGUUGGCUUCCCUCAGCCUAGGCCCCCUCACUAUUCCAGGUGGCAGCCACAAAGGUCCUGGUGUCACCUGUUGACACAACCACCUCCAGUACCAGAGGUCUAGGUCUUCCUCUAUGUCUCUUUUUAAGAACCAUUCCCAAGAGCCCCCUAUAGCAGUCAAGGUUUGGAUAGGGAAGAGCUGGUACUCUCACAGAAUUUAAUUGAAGUGAAUUUGACAGAGGGACCAUUUAAAGACCUUGAGCAGAAGU
Camelus dromedarius (Arabian camel) is the source of this 1051-nucleotide long non-coding RNA. RefSeq lists it as uncharacterized. The record is from RefSeq and is a predicted model, not a curated record. NCBI's taxonomy places the organism in Eukaryota, Metazoa, Chordata, Mammalia, Artiodactyla, Camelidae. The transcript has 3 exons.